CACGAACCCAGACCAACUCCGGACACAUCUGAACAUCUGAAGUUCCCUGGUAUGACUUAGCUGAUAGCUCAUCCUUCACAAGAAUGCUUACAUGAAUGGCACCCGAGUUGGAAGGAAAAAAGAUCCAGUGGAUCAUUUCAGAAUUUAGUUUGGCUCUCCCCACACAGGAUUUAACCAGGCUGACAGAUUCAGCACAGGAAAGUAUUUUAAUGUAAUGAUAUACCACCACUUCUAGACCCAAUGACAAGAUGAAAAUCCAAGAGCAGGCAUAAAACACCUAUAAAGAAAUGACAGAGCUUGAAGUCAGUGUGAAUAAUUUCUGAAUCAUAAAUUCACAAAGGGAACAGGGAAAAGAAAGGAGAAAA
This is a long non-coding RNA of Homo sapiens (human), 365 nucleotides long. RefSeq lists it as uncharacterized. The record is from RefSeq and is a predicted model, not a curated record. The transcript has 3 exons. NCBI's taxonomy places the organism in Eukaryota, Metazoa, Chordata, Mammalia, Primates, Hominidae.